Molecule: ribosomal RNA, 422 nt
Filed under: uncultured archaeon
Lineage: Archaea
Description: partial 16S ribosomal RNA
Rfam family: Archaeal small subunit ribosomal RNA
Source: RNAcentral
CUACGGGGGGCAGCAGGCGCGAAACCUUUACAAUGUACGUAAGUGCGAUAAGGGAACUCCCAGUGCUCAUGUAAUGCAUGGGCUUUUGUUAAGUGUAAAUAGCUUGGCGAAUAAGUGGUGGGUAAGACGGGUGCCAGCCGCACGCGGUAACACCUGCGCCACGAGUGGCAUUCACGUUUACUGGGCCUAAAGCGUUCGUAGCCGGAUAGAUAAGUCUUAAGUGAAAUCGUUGCGCUUAACAAAACGACGUGCUUGAGAUACUGUUUAUCUAGGGACCGGGAGGUGUUAGGGGUAUUCCAGAGGGAGCGGUAAAAUGCUGUAAUCUCUGGAGGACCACCUGUGGCGAAGGCGCCUAACUAGAACGGGUCCGACGGUGAGGAACGAAAGCCAGGGGGCAAAACGGAUUAGAUACCCCCGUAGUC